GUGGCGGAUAGGAACCAAUCGAUGCCGCUGUGUCGUCUGGGCCGAAAACCGCCUAAAGCAAUGGUAUAAUAAUGGUCGUAUGUGCAACGUUUUGGUGCAUGUAUAUCACCGAAAUAUCGAACACGU
Molecule: non-coding RNA, 126 nt
Organism: Angiostrongylus cantonensis (rat lungworm)
Lineage: Eukaryota; Metazoa; Nematoda; Chromadorea; Rhabditida; Metastrongylidae
Source: Rfam